Molecule: long non-coding RNA, 1271 nt
Organism: Piliocolobus tephrosceles (Ugandan red Colobus)
Lineage: Eukaryota; Metazoa; Chordata; Mammalia; Primates; Cercopithecidae
Source: Ensembl
AUGUUUUUUAAAAGGUGUUUUCACAAAUAUCCGGGAGGAAGCAAAAUUAAGUGUUAUAUACAAAAAAAAAAAAAAAAAAAAAUAGAUGUUAGCUUAUUCCAUCAACCUUUAUAUUCAAGAAACUCAAAGGGUUACAUAGAUUGGAGAUAUUGUACACCCAAAUCGGGUUACGAGUAUAUGUAUAUAUAUGGGGAAAACACAAUCGAAAUAACAAAUUUACCUAAUAACAAAACAAAUGAAUAUAUUCAAGAAAGACUAAGAAAAAGCUUAAAUAAAUAUGGAAGAUUAAAAAUUUUAAAAUGUUUAAGUAAUAGAAACGAUCCAUAUAUAAACAACAAUGUUGCUUAUGCCAGUUUUUACAAAAAAGCAGAUAUGUAUAAAUGUAUACGAAAUGUAAAUAUAAGAUUACCUUUAUCAUUACAACAUAAAAUUUUAAAAUUUAAAAGCUUAUAUUCUAAUAAAAGUAACGAUUAUAAUUAUUUUUUUAAACAAGAUCAUUAUAAUUACAGUUCAAUAAAUAUAGCGUUAAAUUUAUUUAAAUAUUUACAAUUUCAUAAUUGUUUUUUAAAUAUUAAAGACAUAUAUAAAUAUGUAUUUGAAUAUUCGUAUUAUCCUCAUAAAAUUAUUAGUUCAGGUAUAUCUAUAUAUAAGGUAUUUAACAGUUGGCUUAACUUUAUUAACUUCUUUGAAGAACUUUUUAUCAAAACAAAUAAAAACAAUGAAAUAUUAAUUAGUGCGAAUAUUAUAUCCGAUCAAAAUUUAUGUAUAUAUUUAAAUAACAAAUUAAUCGAAUUAAAAAAAAAAACGAACUCGAUUAACUCUGUACACUGGAGACAACAUUCUUUACAAUUACCACAAGAUGUAGAAGCUAAGUUAAACAAUGAACAUCCACAAAAAUUAAAAGAAGAAAUUCAAAUUUUAUCAAGAACGAAAGAUUUUUACAAGAUUCAUGAUGAACGUCAUUUAUUUAAAUUAAAACUCAACAAAGAGAGGAAAGAAAAAAAAGGAUUACUAAAAAAUAAAAACACAAAGUAAAAAGCAAGGAAAAAUAUCUUGAAAAAGUUUAUUCCAUAAAAUGAUAAAAAUAUUUUUUCAUUAAUUAUGUUCUUAUGCAUGUUAUACAUAUAUGUAUAAAUAUAGAAGCUGUUGUUUAUAUUUUUUUUUUUUUUUUUUUACGUGUUAUUAUGUAUGUAUAAUAACAUUUAUAUAUGUCAUUAAUAUUUUUAUUUUUAAAAAAAAAGUUAAAAUAAACAAAUAAAAAAAACAAGGCA